CGAGAAAUAUAUGGAAAAGGAUUUAUUGAUGUAUGAAAAGAGGAAAAACGGAUACAAAUCCAGAGCAAAGCUCCACAGUAGAGAAACAAGCUUCUCACUGCCUAACCAUUAAGGUGAAAUGGAAAAUAACAACUAUGCUCAUAACUAAUUCCCACUAUGCUCUUAUUAAGGGAAUUGGAAAUAUCCUAACAGAAUUGCCACCUCAGCUAUCACACAUUCCCUGAGGUCCCUUUCUUAAUCAUUCUCUCAUACACACGCCACACCUUGGGCUCAACAUUUCCUUUGUUAACCAAUAUGUCCCCUUCCUUACUAACAGGCCCAUUCCUAUCACUGACCCUAAACUAAAUAACACAAACUUCAGCAGAAAUAGCCUUGUCACUUGUGA
This 385-nucleotide long non-coding RNA is filed under the name Trifolium pratense (red clover). RNAcentral's name for it is "long non-coding RNA (TPRA_LNC002563)". Lineage: Eukaryota; Viridiplantae; Streptophyta; Magnoliopsida; Fabales; Fabaceae. The record is from RNAcentral.